CCCCCCUCAGGGUCACACCUGGAGAGUUCCCGGUCCUCUACCAGUCUCAACUACAGGAGGGAGAGUCAGGCAGAGGCACAUCCAUUCCAUUCCUAGUUUGGGCAGUGGCUAGCGAGUGGAAGGCCAUCUGCUACAAGU
This 138-nucleotide small nucleolar RNA is filed under the name Ornithorhynchus anatinus (platypus). The record is from RNAcentral. Lineage: Eukaryota; Metazoa; Chordata; Mammalia; Monotremata; Ornithorhynchidae.